ACAUUUGAUUAGGUAGUUGGAAGGGUAGAAGCCUCCCAAGCCAACGAUCAAUAGCCAAGUUUGAUAGAACAAAUGGCCACAUUGGGAAUGAAAUCUCCCAAGUAGCAUUAAGCUACCAGCAGUCAAGAAUAUUAGUCAAUGCUCGAAAGAGUGAACUAGCUAACUGAAAUCAACGGUGUGUCACCGUUGAUAAGGUAAGGGAAAAAAAUGAUAUUACCUUACUAUUAGUGUCGUCCAAGUACUCGUGCCAGAAGACUCGGUAAGGCGAGAGACGCAAACGUUAGUCGUCUUAAUCAGGCGUAAAGGGUUUGUAGGCGGCUUUAAGAAUUUUAAUUUUUUUAAAUUACAUCCUUUUUAUAAAGGACAUUAAAAAAAAAAUCAAUUAAAGCUAGAAUCAAAAAUAGGUUAAUUAAAUAAUACUUAGACUAAGAUUGGUAUCUGUAAAUUCUAAGCGGAAUACUAACGGCGAAGGCUUUUUUCCAAUAAUGAUUGACGCUGAGAAACUAAGGUGAGGAUAGACAAAAGGAUUAGAGACCCUCGUAUCCCUCACUGUCAACGAUGAAUGGUAGUUACUAGUUGAGUUAAAAUAUAUAAUAACUACAACACUAGAGACGAUGUUAACACGAAAACCAUUCCGCCUUGUGAGUACGACUGCAAAGUUGAAAACAAAAAAAUUAGUCGGUUUCGGAGCAAACGAAGUGAAGCAUGUUAUUUAAUACGAUACCCCGCGUAAAAUCUUACCAGUCCUUGCAUAAAACUUUAUUUUACUUAAUUUGUUUUAAUAAAACUAUGUAAAUUUAAUGAAAGUUAUUUGAUAAAUAGUAAAAUUAUAAUUUUA
RNAcentral lists this ribosomal RNA (838 nucleotides) under Fasciodontia bugellensis. RNAcentral's name for it is "partial small subunit ribosomal RNA". It matches the Rfam family "Bacterial small subunit ribosomal RNA", at positions 233 to 1024 of the family's 1533-position model. Lineage: Eukaryota; Fungi; Basidiomycota; Agaricomycetes; Hymenochaetales; Schizoporaceae. The record is from RNAcentral.